GAUGAACGCUAGCUACAGGCUUAACACAUGCAAGUCGAGGGGAAACGACAUCGAAAGCUUGCUUUUGAUGAGCGUCGACCGGCGCACGGGUGAUUAACGCGUAUCCCACCUGCCCAUCACUUCUUAAUAACCUUGCGAAAGUAAGCCUAAUACCCCAUGACAUCCCACGAAGACAUCUGAAUGGUAUUAAAGAUUUAUCGGUGAUGGAUGGGGAUGCGUCUGAUUAGCUUGUUGGCGUGGUAACGGCCCACCAAGGCAACGAUCAGUAGGGGUUCUGAGAGGAAGGUCCCCCACAGUGGAACUGAGACAAGGUCCAAACAGCUACGGGAGGCAGUAGUGAGGAAUAUAGGUGAAUGGACUAGAGCCUGAACCAGCCAAGUAGCGUGCAGGAAGACGGCCCUAGGGGUGGUAAACUGCUUUUAUAAGGGAAUAAAGUGGGUCUAGUGAGACUUAUUGCAGGUACCUGAUGAAGAAGGACCGGCUAAUUCCGUG
RNAcentral lists this ribosomal RNA (492 nucleotides) under uncultured bacterium. RNAcentral's name for it is "partial 16S ribosomal RNA". It matches the Rfam family "Bacterial small subunit ribosomal RNA", at positions 28 to 507 of the family's 1533-position model. The record is from RNAcentral.